UCUGGUAUUAGGUUUUCCAGAGAGAGGCUGUUAGCCUGUCUCUCGCCCACUCCACCACUGUGAAUCCUGGCUACUGGGGCUAGUUCCUUGCUAGGAAAAAAAAACUCUAGAGAAAUGUGUUUGUGUGUGGUGGGUGGGCGGGGGCCCUGAGGAUGCAGGGACUGUGUCUGCUGUGUUGUCUGUUAUAAGAUGUUUCAGACCUAUUUUGCAUACUGGCAGCGACAAGUUGAGACUUGUUCAACUUGACACAGUCCUGUGGUCAUAGCGAAUCUUUCUAAAGCUCUGAUCAGUCAAGAAGGGGGUUGUAUCAAUCCUCAGAACCCUGAGUGGAACUUUCUACAGGAUUUAUUAGGAGAAAAACCUUCCCGGAAGCUGCAGAAGGACAAAUACAGAAUCCGUGUCUGGGAGAAACCUCGUGGCCUGGUCUCCAUUAUUUGAGAUGAGUUACAUCUUGGAGGUGAGGACGUGCCUCGUGGUCUAAAGCUUCGGCACAAGGGCCCAACUGGAAUUCCACUUACGGGCCUGAUCUUUUGGCCAGAAGGAGAUUAAAAAGAUGCCCCUCAAGAUGGCUGUGCCUGUCAGCUGCAUGGAGCUUCGUUCAAGUAUUUUCUGAGCCUGAUGGAUUUACAGUGAUCUUCAGUGGUCUGGGGAAUAACGCUGGUGGAACCAUGCACUGGAAUGACACACGCCCGGCACAUUUCAGGAUACUAAAAGUGGUUUUAAGGGAGGCUGUGGCUGAAUGCCUCAUGGAUUCUUACAGCUUGGAUGUCCAUGGGGGACGAAGGACUGCAGCUGGCUGAGAGGGUUGAGAUCUCUGUUUACUUAGAUCUCUGCCAACUUCCUUUGGGUCUCCCUAUGGAAUGUAAGACCCCGACUCUUCCUGGUGAAGCAUCUGAUGCACGUUCCAUCCGGCGCUCAGCUGGGCUUGAGCUGACCAUACUCCCUGGAGCCUUCUCCCGAGGUGCGCGGGUGACCUUGGCACAUACAGCCAUCAUGAUGGUACUUUAAGUGGAGGCUGAAUCAUCUCCCCUUUGAGCUGCUUGGCACGUGGCUCCCUUGGUGUUCCCCUUUUACUGCCAGGACACUGAGAUUUGGAGAGAAUCCUGUUACACCUGGGAUUUAGGCACUUUCAAUCUGAAAAAAUACAUAUCCUUUCAGCACUCUGGACGGACUUGAGAACUGUCCUUACGUGACCUAAAGCUGGAGUAUUUUGAGAUUGGAGAAUUAAGAGCCAGUCUUGGUGCUCUGUGUUCACCUGGUUCAUCUGAGGAGCUGCAUCUACCCUGCCCAUGCCAUAGAUCCUGCCCUGUUUGCUUCUCCUGUUGCUGCUAGUGGACAUGAGAAGGACAGAAUAACGGGCUCCCAGAUUCACAAGCCCCACCAAGAGGAUCACCCCAGGAACGCUUGGAGGCUGAGGAGUUCACUGAGGCUACUGCAUCUUGAGACUCAGGAUGAAGACCCAGCUUGGGGCUGUCAAAGGUUUUUUGCAUGUCUGACACCCAUGACUCCACCUGGACCUUAUGGCUCCACCCAGAAGCAAUUCAGCCCAACAGGAGGACAGCUUCAACCCAUUACGAUUUCAUCUCUGCCCCAACCACUCAGCAGCAAGCACCUGUUACCUGUCCACCCCCACCCCUUCCCCCAAACUGCCUUUGAAAAAUCCCUAACCUAUGAGCUUUGAAUAAGAUGAGUACGAACUUCAUCGCCCACGUGGCGUGGCCGGCCUCGUGUCUAUUAAAUUCUUUUUCUACUACAA
Molecule: long non-coding RNA, 1756 nt
Filed under: Homo sapiens (human)
Lineage: Eukaryota; Metazoa; Chordata; Mammalia; Primates; Hominidae
Description: HSALNT0350097
Rfam family: Pvt1 oncogene conserved region 4 (bases 931-1099)
Source: RNAcentral